This is a long non-coding RNA of Homo sapiens (human), 1053 nucleotides long. RefSeq lists it as uncharacterized. The record is from RefSeq and is a predicted model, not a curated record. NCBI's taxonomy places the organism in Eukaryota, Metazoa, Chordata, Mammalia, Primates, Hominidae. The transcript has 4 exons.
CCCAGAUAAAUCAGUAACCCAUUCAGAUCCAUGAAGACACAGGAGCCAUUUGAAGCCUCUGGGAAAGACAAGCUUCCUCCUCUUCCAGAGAUGCUACCAGGAAAGAGGCUUGCUCUUCCUCCAGAAGGUAUAGGGAGAUCUGAGGCCUGGAGUUACUGCAGCCAUUUUCUGCCACACAUGGAGAGCCAGGAGCUGCCUAGAAGAGGAUGGGGAUGGCAGGACCAAGGAUCCGAACUCCCUUUGCCCUCAGAACAGAAGGUUAGCCACCAACUCUACCUCCGCCCUAUGCCCUGGGGAGUGGAGCCUCCAUUGUCGGUGGAAUCUCCCCCAGAGCCUUCUGCUCUAGUUCUUAGGGCCACACAUAAUUCAUUCAUCCAUCAUCAGACAUGAGGAUACCGAAGUAGGGGAAAGAAGAAUUCCUUCUCUAGAAGAACUUACUGACAAGGAAAUUGAUGUGUUCCAUGCUGCAGAGGCAGGAGCAGGGUGGAGGUGCGUGACCUCACUGGAAUGAAGAAGGCGAAGCCCAGUCGAGGUCUCCAAGGAUGAGCCCAGCUGCAGGGGGCUGUCUUAUUCAUGACCCUCUGAAUCUGGGCUGGACUCAGUGACCUGCUCAGCCAACAGAAUUUGUAGAAGUAACAUUCUGGGACUUCUGAGACUAACUUACAAGAAACCUUGCUGCUUCUACCUGGGUCUCUUGGAACACCCUCACUCUGGUAGCUUUGAGCCACCAUGGAAGAACUCUGAUGACUCUAAAUUGGCCAAGUUAGAGAGAUUACAUGCAGGCUCUCUGGGACGUGGUCCCCGUCAGGUCCAGCCUUCUAGUUGUCUCUGCGACUCUGCCAAAGUGCCAGACAAUGAACGGAGCUGUUGUGGAUUCCCUCGACUUGCCCAGCUGUCAGUUGGACAUCUCAGUCAACACCACAUGGAACAGAAGAGUUGCGCAGCUGAGCCCUGUCCAAGUUUCUGACCCACAGAAUGUGAGAUAAAGAAAACGGUGGUGGCCAGGCGUGGUGGCUCAUGCCUGUAAUUCCAGCUCUCAGGGAGGCAGAGGCA